UGGGGCUUGUGGGAGCUAUCACCGGACAGCCAGGGAACCCUAAGGUCACCAUGCAGUUGUCCUUGCUCCCCUCUGCUUCCACAGGUCCUGGAUCCAGAGCUGGAGUUGGCUGACCUUGCCUUUCCACCACCUACAACAUCUGCUUCCUCACUGAAAAUGCAGGUGGGGUCACUCUGCUCUGGUAUAGAGAUUGCAUUGCCUCUAAUGGCCAAGCUGAUGGUGUCACUCAGCCUACCUCGAAGCUGACCUCAGGCUUCUCUGGCCUAGGCAGGAAGAAGUCUAGAGCAAAGGAGCUAUACAGAUAGGUGUGGUGACUGUGCCUGAGUCAGUACAGAACAGUCAAGGGGCUCUGGACAGGAACCAUUUGCUCAGCACUUGCAGGACUCACUUGGCUGAGAAGCAC
This 403-nucleotide long non-coding RNA is filed under the name Rattus norvegicus (Norway rat). RNAcentral describes it as "long non-coding RNA NONRATT027235". Lineage: Eukaryota; Metazoa; Chordata; Mammalia; Rodentia; Muridae. The record is from RNAcentral.